This 2781-nucleotide long non-coding RNA is filed under the name Anas platyrhynchos platyrhynchos (common mallard). Its description in RNAcentral is "lncRNA (ENSAPLG00000017933.1)". Lineage: Eukaryota; Metazoa; Chordata; Aves; Anseriformes; Anatidae. The record is from RNAcentral.
CACAACCGAUGUAUUAAAAAUGCAAUCGCUAAGAGGCAUGGAGCCCACCUGCCUCUAAACCAACUGAGCACACCAACCUCCAAACAUCUCCUGCUCACGGGGUGUAGGCAAAGUCCACCCUGUGCAGUCUGCCCAAAAAAAAAAACAACAAACAAACAAGAAGUUUUAUAUCAUCGUAACCGGGGUUAUCCCAAUAGCCACACAGGGCAGUCAAAAGACUCCCACCGGAUUUUGCAGGGGGAAAGAGAAAGGAGAGAGACCAAGAGGAGGCUCUGCCCCACAAGAACAAGCAGAUCUCUUCUCGUCUUGGAAAAACAAGGAGGACUAUUUCACAUCGGAGGCCAUAAAUACACUUCACUCGGCAUUCGGUACGGGGCAGGUAGGAGCCAGAAAUUGGGGACUGCCAUCCCCCGGCCUACGGUGAGCCCAGUGACUCCAUCCUUCUCUUUGACUUCAAACCCAGUAAGCCCAGACCUCAUUUCCAGAAAAACCUCAUAUGGACUCUGUGGGGUACGUUGCCAGUCUUGUGACCACUGGUCAGGAGGUUUUGGGGUGGACACCAGGUGCCCUUGUGACAGCAGAGCAAUGCCGAGGGCUCUGCAGAAACUUGGAAGUAGACCCAAGAGAGAGGCCAGCAGUACUCAGUUUUGCCCUGAUGCAGGGAACUUUACAAGUUACCCACAUUUCUGGAUAUUCUUCACCAAGCCUGCAGUGCUUCUAAGCUAUAUCUCUGGGGAAAGGAAGUUUUUCUUCCUAGAUUUCCAAAGACCCUGACUUACCCUAUGAAGAAAACUUCUGCAGAGACUCUCAGGGGUCCUUAGCUCCCUAAUUCCUGUUCAUUUCACUGACGAUACAUGCUGUUUGCUGAAACUCCUUGAAUCUUCCCUUUAUUGGGGCUCACCCAAGCACCUACUCUGGGUCACUGGCACAUCCAGAGCUGCACCCAACUUGCCUUAGACGCUCCUGGAAGUCCCAUCACCUCAUGGGGUGCCUUGGUAAAACAACCAGCCUCUUCAGGCUUUCGAAAUGAUGACCCCAGGAGCUCGCUGGGGUUCGGGGAAGAGGAGCCUGCCAGGAUGAGAGCUGCCUGACAUCAUCCGGAUCCGGUCCAGGACCAUCAGACACCUGCUGAGCCUCCCAGUGUAAUUCCACGGCAGCUGCUGCCCUAGCCCACAAGUGCACAAGCGGGAACAUGAGCUGUUUGGAUCACUUGCCUCAAACAUUGUUCUCCGGAGUGUUUGAAAAAGGCCUAAUGAAAUGUGACUCAGAAAUAACUGACAAGUGCCAGCCUCACCUUCUUAUUGUUUCAUCAAAAUGGGAAAGACAGUGAGGAGAAGAGUCAACCUUCUCCAUGAGAUCUGCUGUCCCAACUUGCCCGCAACUUGCAGGCUGACUGAAAUGUUGACACAGAGUUGACAUCUCCACUUGAUUUAUGGAGAGCUUGAACGGCGGGGAAAAAAUUAAACAUUAUAAAUCAAUGAGUAACAUCCAUAACCCUGAAGUGCUUGUUGUAAACAAUACAAAACACCGGCCUAAUUUUUAUGUGUGUAAUUUACGACGAGCAAUUCCUUCCAAAUGAGAAAAUUUAAAAGGAAAAAACCAUCACUUGUUAGAAUAUCAUUAAUUCAAUCAGAUGAGAACUAAGCCAGCCAUUGUUCUUAAUGGUGGAAAGUUUCAUGGGAGCUAAUUGCUUAUGUGUGGUGCCUUUUAGCGUGUUUUUGCUCAGAUGAGCAGAGGAGAUCUGUUAGUGCUAGAGGAGAACCACGGCCAGGGGUGAGAGUGGCUGGGGGGCAUGGCUGGACCUUCUGCGCUCAAGUCCUGGGACAGUCCCAUCAUGGCCCAGCUUCAUCCCAGCAUUGCCCAGCUCACUCUUCUUACCAGGGAUUUAUGCAGAGAUUCUGGUCUAUAGCAGAGGAGUUUGGCCAGGCUUCUUGCCUCCUGGUCAGAGGACAGCAAAGUUCUCUGAAUACCACGAGGGAGGUCAGGUAUCUCCUGGGAAAGCCUGGUAGCUCUGGGUAAGCAAAGAGAACUAAACGUGUUCCCAAAGCCAGGAGCGAUGCCCACACUGAUAGGGCAUUUCACAGCUGGAGAUGCCAUCCACCAUGCAGUCUGCCAAGCCUUGCUCCUAUCUACUGAAAUGCCUGUUAAAAUCUCAUGGCAAGGAGGUGGUAUAAAGUCAAACCAGAAAUCCUGCUCUUAUUUUUGUUUGGCUCGUUGCUUGCUGUCAGCCAAAACUUCUCCUCCUAGCAUUCCUCACCUCCCUCGGUAAAAGCGGGUAGGUGGGAGCUACAAGCUGCAGCAGGGCAAUGCCACACAAAACCAAUUGCCCAAGCUCUGCAAGCACAGAGUAAGAAAUGUCCCCUUCCUCAUAAACCAUAGCUGUGGUUUUAAUUAAUCUGUUUUAAUUUGCUCUGAAGCAAAUUAAUAUCAAUCCCAGUGCAGCGCGCAGCGUUUCAGACAGAACAUCUCUUCCUCUUCACUAGCCCAAAAAAAACAAGCUUGAUUCUGCCAUGGACAGUUUAGAGAGACCUGGUUUGCAGAAAUGUGGAGUAGAGGCAAGAAUCAAACCCUGACUGAAAUCACAGCCUGGAGCUGUGCUCACAAGAGCCCUCUUUGUGUUUAUCCCCAGCCCAGCAGCGGCUGCGUUUUCGCAGCAGAUCUCGUGGCUCUGGGCGCAGGGGAACGCUGUUUGCCUUUCGGUGAUUAACAGAUUCCAGAGUGCUUGGGGAUGGAAAGUUCUUCAUAAAUAAAUAAAUGGAUCUAACAGAGAUGUAAUGAGAC